This 422-nucleotide ribosomal RNA is filed under the name uncultured bacterium. RNAcentral's name for it is "partial 16S ribosomal RNA". It matches the Rfam family "Bacterial small subunit ribosomal RNA", at positions 361 to 774 of the family's 1533-position model. The record is from RNAcentral.
AUCUUCCGCUAUGGACGAAAGUCUGACGGUGCGAUGCCGCGUGAGCGAUGGAGGUCUUCGGAUCGUAAAACUCUGGUGUUAGGGAAGAACAAGUAUCGGAGUAAUAUGCCGGUACCUUGACGGUACCUAACCAGAAAGCCCCGGCUAACUACGUGCCAGCAGCCGCGGUAAUACGGAGGGGGCAAGCGUUAUCCGGAAUUAUUGGGCGUAAAGGGCACGCAGGCGGUUAUUUAAGACUGAUGUGAAAUCUUGUGGCUUAACCACAAGCAGUCAAUGGAAACUGGAUAACUUGAGUACAGAAGAGAAGAGUGGAAUACCACGUGUAGCGGUGAAAUGCGUAGAGAUGUGGGGGAACACCAGUGGCGAAGGCGGCUCUCUGGUCUGUAACUGACGCUGAGGUGCGAAAGCGUGGGUAGCGAACA